CCAAGGAUGCUACCAAAAUGGCUGUUUUCUCCGCUGAAAAGCUUUCCCUCUAUGACAUCAAUGCAUGCAUGUGUUUUAAUCAUGUAGCCAGAUGUACUAAGAAUUGUACUUUCAAUGCAAACACCUGCAGUAGGUCUCUGUUUGGUUUGUGUCUGCGAGAGGUGGGAUUUGUGCUGGAGAGGUGCUCUUGAGUACAAAGGACGGAGUAAAUCGGCUCCCUGGUUGUGCAGUGAAGGACUGACUUGCAGGGAAGGGGAGCAUUUAUAAACUGCAUCAAUAUUGCCCUGAAAUUCUGGGUAGUUGGAGUUGGCUUGGGCCUGUCAGGGUGAGCCAUAAGCAACCCGAGCAAGCCCCUGAAGCCUCAAUGGAUGUUGGAAACACUUCCACAGAAAGCCAAAGCAGUAACGAUUCCAGAGGAGAAGUUAUAGGUGAUUGCUUAUGAUCGGUGGGGAAUUUCCUUGGCAAUUAUUAACCUUGGACAUAGGGCAUUUUGGAGGUGGAAUUCCAGUUUCAGCCACAGGCACCUGGAUGAGAAGGAGAGCUCUUUGCCAGAGGAAGGGAAGUAUUCUUUUGCCAGUUAGUGCUGUUAGUGAAGUGAUCAGAACAAAAGAGUGACUUCUUUUGGGAUAGGCUUAUUUAUUAUAUGGAUGAUAAGCAAGUAAGAGGAAUGAACUACAUGGAUAAGAAGCAGUAACAGCAAUCAAGGUCGAAAGGCAAUGCAUCAAAUCAUUAUUAUGUAUUCUAGUAGGGAUUAGGAAGGGAUACAACAGCAGUUACCCUAAAACGUUACUGUCAUCCUGCUCUGUACUUGAGCUGGGGAGUCCCAUUGCAGAGAAAGACCAGAGAAACCCUCCUGGUAACCCUUAGGGAAUGAUCCAGACUUGCUCCAAGUUGGUCUCACUUGGAUAUUGUUUCUUGUACAAGGGUAUGUGAUCACGUGUUUUGCUUUUCUUUUUUGUGACCUGGGGCUCUGUCACACCCGUCCACUGGCCAGGAGUCCAGGUCCCCGAGGCGGCUUCGGAUCUCCGCGGUCACCGACGCUGCCGAUUUUCCCGGCGCGCGCCGUUCGACGUCGAGGAGCGGCAUCCAGAGGCUGUGUCGGAGCAUCUUCCUGGCUGGAAUGUUUUGAGUAAGGGCUGCAGUCAGGGUGUAAGCUGAAGGGUGUGUGACUGUGUGUGUGUGUGACUGUGUCUGUCUGCCUGCGAGAAGAGUGCGGGUGUGGAAUGGUUCUGACCUUGUGUGUGGGAGUUUUGCCUUUCAGCUACUUUUUAAACUUAGAGUAAAAACAACCCAGCUGCGCUGGCUGGGGAUUUUUUCCCUCCCGGCUGGGUUUUUUUAUCUGGGACCCGGCCGGUCUGUGAGGUGCCGUUCAUCGCCAGGGUUUGGGUGCCGACCGUGCCGGGGAUUUGUCAGGCGGGAUGAUUUUGGGGCUCCCGGGAACCGCGUUCCCAUGGGGUGCUCUCGAGACGAGAGCGAGGGUGGGUUUGUGUGUCAGCUGAAGGAGGUGUGUGGUGGAUGAGUGUUUUCUUCUCCGUGUGCUGCUGUUGUUUUGGGUUUCCUGGAACAAUAAAAUGUCCUAAAUUUUCCAGAAAUAGAACAAUUGUUACAUUGUACUGAUAGGGGGUUGGCUUGUGUUGCUCUGUGUUCGUGUUUGCUGCUGCACUUGCACAUAUUGCUCUGUAUGUCAGUUGGACUUUGACCAGGGUGCAUAUGGAUUGUACUUGUGCUUGUGUACAUUGUUGUUUCCACUUGCUUUGCUGAAGUGUAAAUAAAAAACCCUCGUUCAAUCAAGCUGAAUAAACCCUAAUAAAGAUACCCCCCCUC
Corvus hawaiiensis (hawaiian crow) is the source of this 1824-nucleotide RNA transcript. It is a transcript of the gene named ras and Rab interactor 1-like, with no coding region annotated. The transcript has 2 exons. Lineage: Eukaryota; Metazoa; Chordata; Aves; Passeriformes; Corvidae. The record is from RefSeq and is a predicted model, not a curated record.